AUUGAACGCUGGCGGCAGGCCUAACACAUGCAAGUCGAGCGGGUGAAGAGAGCUUGCGCCGGCAUGCAGCUGACGAGGGGGGAGUAAUGCCUAGGAAUCUGCCUGGCAGUGGGGGAUAAGGUGCGGUAACGGGCGCGAAUACCGCAUACGUCCUUAGGGGGGAAGUGUGGGAUCUGCAGAGCUUACGCCAUCAGAUGAGUCUAGGUCCGAUUAGCUAGUUGGGGGGGUAAAGGCCUACCAAGGCGACGAUCCGUAACUGGCCUGAGAGGGUGAUCAGCCACACUGGAACUGAGACACGGUCCAGACUCCUACGGGAGGCAGCAGUGGGGAAUAUUGGACAAUGGGCGAAAGCCUGAUGCAGCAAUGCCGCGUGGGUGAAGAAGGUCUUCGGAUUGUAAAGCCCUUUCGUUAGGGACGAAGGGGAGUAUGUUAAUAGCGUGCUGUUUUGACGUUACCUGGAGAAGAAGCACCGGCUAACUCCGUG
Molecule: ribosomal RNA, 484 nt
Filed under: uncultured bacterium
Lineage: Bacteria
Description: partial 16S ribosomal RNA
Rfam family: Bacterial small subunit ribosomal RNA
Source: RNAcentral